This 405-nucleotide ribosomal RNA is filed under the name uncultured bacterium. RNAcentral describes it as "partial 16S ribosomal RNA". It matches the Rfam family "Bacterial small subunit ribosomal RNA", at positions 355 to 755 of the family's 1533-position model. The record is from RNAcentral.
UGGGGAAUAUUGCACAAUGGGCGCAAGCCUGAUGCAGCCAUGCCGCGUGUGUGAAGAAGGCCUUCGGGUUGUAAGCACUUUCAGCGAGGAGGAAGGUGGUGAGCUUAAUACGCUCAUCAAUUGACGUUACUCGCAGAAGAAGCACCGGCUAACUCCGUGCCAGCAGCCGCGGUAAUACGGAGGGUGCAAGCGUUAAUCGGAAUUACUGGGCGUAAAGCGCACGCAGGCGGUUUGUUAAGUCGAUNUGAAAUCCCCGGGCUCAACCUGGGAACUGCAUUUGAAACUGGCAAGCUAGAGUCUCGUAGAGGGGGGUAGAAUUCCAGGUGUAGCGGUGAGAUGCGUAGAGAUCUGGAGGAAUACCGGUGGCGAAGGCGGCCCCUGGACGAAGACUGACGCUCAGGUGCG